UGGGGAUUAGCCAAGCGGUAAGGCAACGGACUUUGACUCCGUCAUGCCAAGGUUCGAAUCCUAGAUCCCCAG
This 72-nucleotide transfer RNA is filed under the name Paenibacillus cremeus. It matches the Rfam family "tRNA". Rfam says of the family: Transfer RNA (tRNA) molecules are approximately 80 nucleotides in length. Their secondary structure includes four short double-helical elements and three loops (D, anti-codon, and T loops). Further hydrogen bonds mediate the characteristic L-shaped molecular structure. tRNAs have two regions of fundamental functional importance: the anti-codon, which is responsible for specific mRNA codon recognition, and the 3' end, to which the tRNAs corresponding amino acid is attached (by aminoacyl-tRNA synthetases). tRNAs cope with the degeneracy of the genetic code in two manners: having more than one tRNA (with a specific anti-codon) for a particular amino acid; and 'wobble' base-pairing, i.e. permitting non-standard base-pairing at the 3rd anti-codon position. Lineage: Bacteria; Bacillati; Bacillota; Bacilli; Caryophanales; Paenibacillaceae. The record is from Rfam by way of RNAcentral.